This 791-nucleotide ribosomal RNA is filed under the name uncultured Thermotoga sp. Its description in RNAcentral is "bacterial SSU rRNA". It matches the Rfam family "Bacterial small subunit ribosomal RNA", at positions 8 to 795 of the family's 1533-position model. Lineage: Bacteria; Thermotogati; Thermotogota; Thermotogae; Thermotogales; Thermotogaceae. The record is from RNAcentral.
AGAGUUUGAUUCUGGCUCAGGGUGAACGCUGGCGGCGUGCCUAACACAUGCAAGUCGAGCGGGUACCCGCAAGGGUACCAGCGGCGCACGGGUGAGUAACACGUGGGUAAUCUACCCCUCGGAGGGGGAUAACCGGGGGAAACUCCGGCUAAUACCCCAUACGAUCCAACAACACAAGUUGUUGGAUGAAAGGAGCGUUUGCUCCGCCGAGGGAUGAGCCCGCGGCCCAUCAGGUAGUUGGUGGGGUAAUGGCCCACCAAGCCUACGACGGGUAGCCGGCCUGAGAGGGUGGUCGGCCACAAGGGCACUGAGACACGGGCCCUACUCCUACGGGAGGCAGCAGUGGGGAAUCUUGGACAAUGGGCGAAAGCCUGAUCCAGCGACGCCGCGUGGGGGAUGAAGCCCUUCGGGGUGUAAACCCCUGUUGCGAGGGAGGAAUAAGGCCUGGAGGAAAUGCCAGGCCGAUGACUGUACCUCGCGAGGAAGCCCCGGCUAACUACGUGCCAGCAGCCGCGGUAAUACGUAGGGGGCGAGCGUUACCCGGAUUCACUGGGCGUAAAGCGGGUGUAGGCGGCUCGGUAAGUCGGGUGUGAAAUCCCACAGCUCAACUGUGGAAUUGCGCCCGAAACUGCUGAGCUUGGGGCCGGUAGAGGGAGACGGAACUGCCGGUGUAGGGGUGAAAUCCGUAGAUAUCGGCAGGAACGCCGGUGGGGAAGCCGGUCUCCUGGGCCGCGCCCGACGCUGAGACCCGAAAGCUAGGGGAGCAAACCGGAUUAGAUACCCUGGUAGUC